Molecule: ribosomal RNA, 431 nt
Filed under: uncultured bacterium
Lineage: Bacteria
Description: partial 16S ribosomal RNA
Rfam family: Bacterial small subunit ribosomal RNA
Source: RNAcentral
AACGAACGCUGGCGGCAGGCUUAACACAUGCAAGUCGAGCGCCCCGCCAGGGGAGCGGCGGUCGGGUGAGUAACGCGUGGGAACGUACCUUUUGGUUCGGAACAACUCCGGGAUACUGGAGCGAAUACCGGAUAAGCCCUAACGGGGAAAGAUUUAUCGCCGAAAGAUCGGCCCGCGUCUGAUUAGCUAGUUGGUGAGGUAAUGGCUCACCAAGGCGACGAUCAGUAGCUGGUCUGAGAGGAUGAUCAGCCACACUGGGACUGGGACACGGCCCAGACUCCUACGGGAGGCAGCAGUGGGGAAUAUUGGACAAUGGGGGCAGGGCUGAUGCAGCCCUGGCGGGUGAGUGAUGAAGGCCUGAGGGUUGUAAAGCUCUUUUGUCCGGGAAGAUAAUGACUGUACCGGAAGAAUAAGCCCCGGCUAACUUCGUG